Molecule: microRNA precursor, 97 nt
Filed under: Marmota monax (woodchuck)
Lineage: Eukaryota; Metazoa; Chordata; Mammalia; Rodentia; Sciuridae
Source: RNAcentral
AAUUUACACAAGGCAUGACUGUUACAUAAUGAAUAUGAUUUUUCUGUGUGAUUUGUGAAAUCAGUUUCAUUCCUUUAUAAUCACAUGAUGCAUAUUA